UCGACAACGUCUGCCCUGUCCCUUCAAUAGAGAAAGUGACGAGGCGUAGGUUGUUGCAA
This 59-nucleotide microRNA precursor is filed under the name Pristionchus pacificus. RNAcentral describes it as "microRNA ppc-mir-8361 precursor". Lineage: Eukaryota; Metazoa; Nematoda; Chromadorea; Rhabditida; Neodiplogasteridae. The record is from miRBase by way of RNAcentral.